This 459-nucleotide ribosomal RNA is filed under the name uncultured bacterium. RNAcentral's name for it is "partial 16S ribosomal RNA". It matches the Rfam family "Bacterial small subunit ribosomal RNA", at positions 338 to 795 of the family's 1533-position model. The record is from RNAcentral.
CCUACGGGAGGCUGCAGUGAGGAAUAUUGGUCAAUGGCCGAGAGGCUGAACCAGCCAAGUCGCGUGAGGGAAGACGGCCCUACGGGUUGUAAACCUCUUUUGUCGGGGAGCAAAGCGAACCACGUGUGGUUCAUUGAGAGUACCCGAAGAAAAAGCAUCGGCUAACUCCGUGCCAGCAGCCGCGGUAAUACGGAGGAUGCGAGCGUUAUCCGGAUUUAUUGGGUUUAAAGGGUGCGCAGGCGGAGGUGCAAGUCAGCGGUCAAAUUGCGGGGCUCAACCCCGUACUGCCGUUGAAACUGCAUCCAUUGCGUGCGCGAGAAGUAUGCGGAAUGCGUGGUGUAGCGAUGAAAUGCAUAGGUAUCACGCAGAACUCAGAUUGCGAAGGCAGCAUAGCGGCGCGCAACUGACGCUCAUGCACGAAAGCGUGGGUAUCGAACAGGAGUAGAUACCCGUGGAGUC